CAUCACAAUAAAUCCAAAAAAUAAAGUGAGUCAAAUGAAUUUUUUGGUUUCCCAUUGCAUAUAAAAGUUAUGUUUACACUAUACUAAAGUCUAUUAAGUGUGCUAUACCAUUAUGUCUGGGAAAAAAAUGCACCAUACCUAAUUAAAAAAUACUUGACUG
Molecule: long non-coding RNA, 160 nt
Organism: Herpailurus yagouaroundi (jaguarundi)
Lineage: Eukaryota; Metazoa; Chordata; Mammalia; Carnivora; Felidae
Exons: 3
Source: RefSeq, a predicted model, not a curated record